Long non-coding RNA from Melitaea cinxia (Glanville fritillary), 104 nucleotides. RefSeq lists it as uncharacterized. The record is from RefSeq and is a predicted model, not a curated record. The transcript has 2 exons. NCBI's taxonomy places the organism in Eukaryota, Metazoa, Arthropoda, Insecta, Lepidoptera, Nymphalidae.
AUGUAAUUUAAUAAUCAAAAAUAUGUAUUGAUGCGACUAUAUACAUGAAAAUACAAGAGGUUGGAGAACAAAAUGUAAAUUUAAAGAGCAAUAACUACAAAAUA